Molecule: non-coding RNA, 158 nt
Organism: Desulfosporosinus meridiei DSM 13257
Lineage: Bacteria; Bacillati; Bacillota; Clostridia; Eubacteriales; Desulfitobacteriaceae
Source: Rfam
UACGUAAGCAGAAAAGCAAACUUCCGUUUAAGCGACCCAGAUACGGGGCAGUGCACACGGACGUGCACUGCCGCCAGUGAGCCAAGGAUGGCUCAUCUGGCGGGAACCCCGCUCCCCAGAGAAAAGAGCUUAAACGGUUAGUUUGCUCUGCGUCGUAA